This 500-nucleotide ribosomal RNA is filed under the name uncultured bacterium. Its description in RNAcentral is "partial 16S ribosomal RNA". It matches the Rfam family "Bacterial small subunit ribosomal RNA", at positions 30 to 523 of the family's 1533-position model. The record is from RNAcentral.
AUUGAACGCUGGCGGAAUGCUUUACACAUGCAAGUCGAACGGCAGCACGGGGGCAACCCUGGUGGCGAGUGGCGAACAGGUGAGUAAUACAUCGGAACGUGCCCAGUCGUGGGGGAUAACGUAGCGAAAGUUACGCUAAUACCGCAUACGAUCUACGGAUGAAAGCGGGGGACCGUAAGGCCUCGCGCGAUUGGAGCGGCCGAUGUCAGAUUAGGUAGUUGGUGAGGUAAAGGCUCACCGAGCCGACGAUCUGUAGCUGGUCUGAGAGGACGACCAGCCACACUGGGACUGAGACACGGCCCAGACUCCUACGGGAGGCAGCAGUGGGGAAUUUUGGACAAUGGGCGCAAGCCUGAUCCAGCCAUUCCACGUGCAGGACGAAGGCCUUCGGGUUGUAAACUGCUUUUGUACGGAACGAAAAGGCUCUGGUUAAUACCUGGGGCUCAUGACGGUACCGUAAGAAUAAGCACCGGCUAACUACGUGCCAGCCGCCGCAGUAA